This 255-nucleotide ribosomal RNA is filed under the name Listeria monocytogenes. RNAcentral's name for it is "partial 16S ribosomal RNA". It matches the Rfam family "Bacterial small subunit ribosomal RNA", at positions 57 to 300 of the family's 1533-position model. The record is from RNAcentral. Lineage: Bacteria; Bacillati; Bacillota; Bacilli; Caryophanales; Listeriaceae.
GCAAGUCGAACGAACGGAGGAAGAGCUUGCUCUUCCAAAGUUAGUGGCGGACGGGUGAGUAACACGUGGGCAACCUGCCUGUAAGUUGGGGAUAACUCCGGGAAACCGGGGCUAAUACCGAAUGAUAAAGUGUGGCGCAUGCCACGCUUUUGAAAGAUGGUUUCGGCUAUCGCUUACAGAUGGGCCCGCGGUGCAUUAGCUAGUUGGUAGGGUAAUGGCCUACCAAGGCAACGAUGCAUAGCCGACCUGAGAGGG